This 492-nucleotide ribosomal RNA is filed under the name uncultured bacterium. RNAcentral's name for it is "partial 16S ribosomal RNA". It matches the Rfam family "Bacterial small subunit ribosomal RNA", at positions 29 to 507 of the family's 1533-position model. The record is from RNAcentral.
AGUGAACGCUGGCGGUAGGCUUAACACAUGCAAGUCGAACGGCAGCACACUAAGCUCUUGCUCUUACGGGUGGCGAGUGGCGGCCGGGUGAUGAAUACAUCGUAAUCUACUUUUUCGUGGGGGAUAACGGCGGGAAACUUACGCUAAUACCGCAUACGCCCUAUGGGUGAAAGCAUGGGUUUUUCGGAGAUUGCGUGAUUGAAUGAGCCGGUGUCGGGUUAGCUAGUUGGUGGGGUAAGGGCCCACCAAGCCGACGCUCCGGAGCGGGGCGGAGAGGAUGGUCAGCCACACUAGAACGGAGACACGGUCCAGACUCCUACGGGAGGCAGCAGUGGGGAAUAUUGGACAAUGGGCGCAAGCAUGAUCCAGCCAUGCCGCGUGGGUGAAGAAGGCCUUCGGGUUGUAAAGCCCUCUUGUUGGGAGAGAAAAGCAGCAGGUUAAUACCUCGCUGUGCUGACGGUACCCAAAGAAUAAGCACCGGCUAACUUCGUG